This 242-nucleotide unclassified non-coding RNA is filed under the name soil metagenome. RNAcentral's name for it is "partial internal transcribed spacer 1". The record is from RNAcentral.
CAAUAAGAGUGUUUUAUGGCACUCUUUCAAAAAAUCCAUACCCACCUUGUGUGCAAUGUAAAAAAAAAAAAAAAGGAGUUUUCCUUGUGGUUUGGGAGUGAGAGUUGUUUUUACAAACGCUCAUUUUUUUUUUUUUUUUUUUUUCCUCAAGAGACACUUUUUUUUUUUUCAUUUCAUAUACAACCUUUUCUAUAAGUUUCCUAUUGUCCUGAAGUACUUGGAAUAAAUAUAAUUCUAAAAUA